AAUAGAGUUUAUCGUGGCUCAGAAACAGCGCUCGGGGCAGGCCUAACACAUACAAGUCUAACGCUGUACCAAUACAGAGUGGCACACGGGUGAGUAACGCGUGGGAACGUGCCCUUUGGUUCGGAAUAACUCAGGGAAACUUGAGCUAAUACCGGAUAAGCCCUAAGGGGGAAAGAUUUAUCGCCGAAGGAUCGGCCCGCGUCGGAUUAGCUAGUUGGUGAGGUAAUGGCUCACCAAGGCGACGAUCGGUAGCUGGUCUGAGAGGAUGAUCAGCCACACUGGGACUGAGACACGGCCCAGACUCCUACGGGAGGCAGCAGUGGGGAAUAUUGGACAAUGGGCGCAAGCCUGAUCCAGCCAUGCCGCGUGAGUGAUGAAGGCCUUAGGGUUGUAAAGCUCUUUCGCCGGGCGACGAUAAUGACGGUACCUGGAGAAUAAGUCU
RNAcentral lists this ribosomal RNA (442 nucleotides) under uncultured bacterium. RNAcentral describes it as "bacterial SSU rRNA". It matches the Rfam family "Bacterial small subunit ribosomal RNA", at positions 1 to 493 of the family's 1533-position model. The record is from RNAcentral.